Molecule: long non-coding RNA, 1151 nt
Organism: Gymnodraco acuticeps
Lineage: Eukaryota; Metazoa; Chordata; Actinopteri; Perciformes; Bathydraconidae
Exons: 3
Source: RefSeq, a predicted model, not a curated record
UCCUAUCGAGUCAGACAGACUCAGCCCCUAGUCAGCAGGUCGGGGGUGAACUAUCAGCACAGACUCUACGUGAGAUUCAGAUCGAUAUUGCACUCCUCACAGACCCCCUUCUGACAAGAUAUCACCCCGAUCAGUCAAGCUAUUAUCAAGGGGACCAACACUGCUGCUACUGCCAACUUUUUGGAUACACCCACUGAAUAAGCUGGAGGGUCUCAUGUAAAUUGAUGCCGAUGUAACCGAACGCCCAGAGAGCUCAUGGAGCCGAUCCGGUCCAUCCGCCGGCCGAAGCAGCUGGACGACUUCCUGGUCGAGUCGUUGCGGAUGCUCUUCAGGUUCUUUGCUGAGAGAAACUCCCUGAUUGCUGCCUCAUCCAGAGUUGGGGGGGGCUGCUGUUCGUCUGCCGCCUCCUCUGUGCUCAGGCUCUCCAGGUUCCUCUCUGCAGUGACACUCUGCUCCACUUCGGAAACGGACUCCUCUAGUCUGCUAAGGAGCUCCUAUAACAUCCACAUAUACACAGGUUAUGCCAUGUCUUGCAUACUAGACAGAAACAUUUCAAAUUCAAUUAAGGACAUACAAGGAAGGGCCUUCAAACAAAGAUGUCAGCACCUUUAGACAUAGUAAUCGGAAGCAGAUGUUAAGACCAUUAGAAGCAUUUGUGAUAUUCUUCUACAGGGUAAUCGCCAAAUAUUCACAUUUUCAGCCCUUAAUUCUAUGUGGUUGACUCAACAACCGUAGCAUUAUUUGUCACGUUAUCAUGACACUUUCAGUUAUUUGCUUAGAGCACAUAUUUAACUUCAGUAACUCAUAUCUGAUCACAUCAAAGUCCAAUUAUAUCAUAUAUGGUCCCAAGGGUCCAAAUAAUGUAGGAUAUGAUGUUUAUACAAUACGAUCUAUAACUAAACAUAAAUCGGUUAAAUAAAAUGCAGUCUCUGCAAGUGUUGAAAGUGUUGUCCAUGUUCCCUUGAGCUCAUACAAACUACCACCCCAGGUUUCAGGAUCAAUCAGAGCCUCACCUUAAAGAAGUCUAUGUCAGCGUCAGAGAGGCCGGGGCUGAUGGGAGAUGUGCAGAACAGCUGUAGGUUUAAGAUGAGGAGGAAGCCACAGAGGGGAAUGGAAGACAGACACAUGUUUCCUGUGAGUUCCUGUUGAUG